UACAGAGGUCUCAAGCGUUGUUCGGAUUCAUUGGGCGUAAAGGGCGCGUAGGCGGCGCAACAAGUCACUUGUGAAAUCUCCGGGCUUAACUCGGAACGGUCAAGUGAUACUGUUGUGCUAGAGUGCGGAAGGGGCAACUGGAAUUCUCGGUGUAGCGGUGAAAUGCGUAGAUAUCGAGAGGAACACCUGCGGCGAAGGCGGGUUGCUGGGCCGACACUGACGCUGAUGCGCGAAAGCCAGGGGAGCGAACGGG
RNAcentral lists this ribosomal RNA (253 nucleotides) under uncultured bacterium. RNAcentral describes it as "partial 16S ribosomal RNA". It matches the Rfam family "Bacterial small subunit ribosomal RNA", at positions 524 to 776 of the family's 1533-position model. The record is from RNAcentral.